This 311-nucleotide ribosomal RNA is filed under the name Dreissena polymorpha. RNAcentral's name for it is "eukaryotic LSU rRNA". It matches the Rfam family "Eukaryotic large subunit ribosomal RNA", at positions 666 to 946 of the family's 3401-position model. Lineage: Eukaryota; Metazoa; Mollusca; Bivalvia; Myida; Dreissenidae. The record is from RNAcentral.
CCAAGGAGUCUAGCAUGUGCGCGAGUCACGGGGUCUCUCGAAACCCAAGGGCGCAAUGAAAGUGAAGGCCGCCUCCGGCUGGCCCAGGCAAGAUCCCGAGUCGUUCGCGACGAGGGCGCACUGCCGGCCCGUCUCGCUGGCAUCGACCACGAGGCGGAGCAAGAGCGCACACGCUGGGACCCGAAAGAUGGUGAACUAUGCCUGAGUAGGACGAAGUCAGGGGAAACUCUGAUGGAGGUCCGUAGCGAUUCUGACGUGCAAAUCGAUCGUCAAACUUGGGUAUAGGGGCGAAAGACUAAUCGAACCAUCUA